This 253-nucleotide ribosomal RNA is filed under the name uncultured bacterium. Its description in RNAcentral is "partial 16S ribosomal RNA". It matches the Rfam family "Bacterial small subunit ribosomal RNA", at positions 524 to 776 of the family's 1533-position model. The record is from RNAcentral.
UACGAAGGGGGCUAGCGUUGCUCGGAAUCACUGGGCGUAAAGGGUGCGUAGGCGGGUCUUUAAGUCAGGGGGGAAAUCCUGGAGCUCAACUCCAGAACUGCCUUCGAUACUGGCGAUCUUGAGUCCGGGAGAGGUGAGUGGAACUCCGAGUGUAGAGGUGAAAUUCGUAGAUAUUCGGAAGAACACCAGUGGCGAAGGCGGCUCACUGGCCCGGUACUGACGCUGAGGUGCGAAAGCGUGGGGAGCAAACAGG